GGGGUUGGAAAGUCCACUAAUCUAGCUAAGGUAGCAUACUGGCUCCUGCAGCAUGAGAUCAGUGUUAUGAUGGCUGCUUGUGAUACAUUCCGGUCAGGAGCUGUUGAGCAGCUGCGCACUCAUGCACGUAGACUUCAGAUACCUAUAUUUGAAAAGGGCUAUGAGAAAGAUCCUGCAAUUGUAGCAAAGGAAGCAAUUCAAGAGGCAGCAUGCAAUGGUUCUGAUGUGGUUCUUGUUGAUACUGC
RNAcentral lists this unclassified non-coding RNA (245 nucleotides) under Hevea brasiliensis (rubber tree). Lineage: Eukaryota; Viridiplantae; Streptophyta; Magnoliopsida; Malpighiales; Euphorbiaceae. The record is from RNAcentral.